GGGUGGGGGUGAGUGGCUGUCUCCUCCCUGGAAGGAACAGUGUGUGAUGACGCAGCCAGCCAAGGACAGCCGUCACCGACCUGCAACAACAAAGGCUCCCAGCCCUGCGCCUCCAGGGACCUCGGCUGUGACAGUGCUGUGGCUGCGGACUCCUGUGAUGCAAGUUGUCCACUUUGUGAUGCUUCCUUGUGGCUGCCAUAGGACACGGGUCCCAGCCGGUGUCCUGGAGGACAGGACCCCUGUAACCUCACAACCAACCCCUUCACUAACCUGCCCCUGCCUGUGUCCCUUAGCCUUGCUCUCUCUCUCUCCCCUGGGACAAGACAGGAAGAGCCAGGGGCAGAUAAGGUCUGGCUGCUAAGCUGCUGGUCUGGUGGUAGGCCUUAGUCGGAACAGAAUGUGCUGGGCCUGAGAAAUGGUUACUUUUCGCUGGGCAGAUUUUAAAAUCGUUACUUUUCCUCUGCCCUUGCCAGCCUGAAGCCUGAGAAUUUUUCUCCCAUCUUCACAGUCAGAACGUGGUGGGGUUGCUAGAGUUGAGCUCUGUGGAACCGUGGGCCUCAAGUCCAGGCCAGGUGGUGCCAGCUCUCAGGCCAGGCCACCCUCACCGUCUGGCGACAUCUCUGUCACCAAGAAGACGCCCGGCUGGCUCCUGGCUUGCAGAACUGGGAGUGACCCACAGCCAAGAACAAGAUGAUGAUAGCAAUAACCUGAUGAUACUUCAAGGAAGCCCUUGGCAGAUGGAGAAUGAAGAAGGUUCCAGAAAACUCUCCUACAAGGCGAGAACAUGAGCACACUGAACGCGAGCA
This is a long non-coding RNA of Ochotona princeps (American pika), 806 nucleotides long. RefSeq lists it as uncharacterized. NCBI's taxonomy places the organism in Eukaryota, Metazoa, Chordata, Mammalia, Lagomorpha, Ochotonidae. The record is from RefSeq and is a predicted model, not a curated record. The transcript has 3 exons.